AUGCAGAUCUUCGUCAAGACCCUCACGGGGAAGACCAUCACCCUCGAGGUUGAGAGCAGCGAUACCAUCGACAAUGUCAAGGCCAAGAUCCAGGACAAGGAGGGUGAGUAUCUUCUUCUUUCCUUUCCUUUUUUGUUUCCGCCGGCCGCCGUGGCUAAUAUCUGUUUUGUUCCGGCAGGGAUCCCGCCGGACCAGCAGCGGCUGAUCUUCGCCGGCAAGCAGUUGGAGGACGGCCGCACCCUUGCCGACUACAACAUCCAGAAGGAGUCGACCCUCCAUCUCGUCCUCAGGCUCCGCGGAGGCAUCAUCGAGCCAUCCCUGCAGGCGCUUGCCCGCAAGUACAACCAGGAGAAGAUGAUCUGCCGCAAAUGCUAUGCGCGCCUGCACCCUAGGGCUGUCAACUGCCGCAAGAAGAAGUGUGGCCACAGCAACCAGCUGAGGCCCAAGAAGAAGAUCAAGAACUAG
This 465-nucleotide ribosomal RNA is filed under the name Triticum aestivum (bread wheat). RNAcentral's name for it is "partial small subunit ribosomal RNA". Lineage: Eukaryota; Viridiplantae; Streptophyta; Magnoliopsida; Poales; Poaceae. The record is from RNAcentral.